AGGGUUUGAUUAUGGCUCAGGAUGAACGCUGGCGGCGUGCUUAACACAUGCAAGUCGAACGAAGCACUUAAGUUUGAUUCUUCGGAUGAAGACUUUUGUGACUGAGUGGCGGACGGGUGAGUAACGCGUGGGUAACCUGCCUCAUACAGGGGGAUAACAGUUAGAAAUGACUGCUAAUACCGCAUAAGACCACAGCACCGCAUGGUGCAGGGGUAAAAACUCCGGUGGUAUGAGAUGGACCCGCGUCUGAUUAGCUAGUUGGUGGGGUAACGGCCUACCAAGGCGACGAUCAGUAGCCGACCUGAGAGGGUGACCGGCCACAUUGGGACUGAGACACGGCCCAA
RNAcentral lists this ribosomal RNA (344 nucleotides) under uncultured bacterium. Its description in RNAcentral is "bacterial SSU rRNA". It matches the Rfam family "Bacterial small subunit ribosomal RNA", at positions 8 to 334 of the family's 1533-position model. The record is from RNAcentral.